GGCAGUCUUUGCUAGGACAUGCUUGCUACCAGCCUGCAGACAAUUCUCAGCGGCAGGGAAUGCUCUGAGGUCCAUUUCUCCUGCAGUGUGGACCAGGUGCAUCUCCACAACUUGAGUCUGAUUGGCUUACUGUGUUGACUGUUGCCUUUUCCUCAACUAGGUCCCCUGGUAAACAGCUUACCAGUCUGCAGCAGGAAUGGCUGGUGCUUUUCUCAAGCUGACUGAGAAGUUCCUUGGUAAAUGACCCAAGUUCCAUGAAAGAAAACCUCAGACUUAGUAGACUGGCUAGCUGAUAGAACCAUGGAAAUGAUCAUUUGCAAGUUAUUUCAGGAACACACAGCUGCAAAGCUGGAGCCCCAAUUUUGUCAUCAGGAUAAUCCACAACAAACUCAAGCGCUGCUGAAAGCAACUCUGUUAAGCUGUCACCUGGUACUUUAUCCAUGCCUUCAUCAACCAGUAUGCGGUUCCCAGGGCAUCCAAGAUAGCCUUAUCAACACCGUUUGAAUUCCAGGAAUCAGCUAUGAAUUGGUCCGUUAACCUCCUUGCCUAGUGCUCUGUUGUAUGUCAGAUCUGCUAUGAGGCAAGUUUCUCCAUUCGUAUUCAUUUGUAAGAUACUUGCUGAGCUUCAAUGAAUUUC
RNAcentral lists this long non-coding RNA (637 nucleotides) under Apteryx owenii (little spotted kiwi). Its description in RNAcentral is "lncRNA (ENSAOWG00000003819.1)". Lineage: Eukaryota; Metazoa; Chordata; Aves; Apterygiformes; Apterygidae. The record is from RNAcentral.